AGACACUGUAGAAAUUCUUCAUUUGAAGCUAAGCACUGGACACUUAAUAUAUUGACCUUGUUUGGUUUAACUUAAUACUUUAGACGAUGUGUUUAGAGUCAAGAAUAAACAUUUGGUUAAAGAGAGACUGACUCCCCAUAAUGAAACACUCAGUUUGCUGGAAAAGGGACAGAACUUCAUUUAGACAUCUGAUGAUGUGUUUAAUUCACAGGUUAGGUCUUUAGACAAGUAAGACUCCCUUGUGACUUUGUUUCAGGCAUCAUUCAGUGCUAAGGAAACACAAGGCAGCUGUAAGGCUACCAAAUAAGGUGGGAUUUCAGAUGGAGGAGCACAGAGAAGUGCCUUGCAACACUAAUAAGGUCAUGAGGAUUUUCUUUCAUAAGCAUAUUGUGUUCUUGGUAAGAGGAAGGAUAUCUACAUAUAGUCUUUGUUUCUCACAGACGCUUUCCCAAACUCUGAUAUCAACUACUUGUACACAACAGCAUGUGGUUCGUCUCAGGAAAGUUCUCAGCAGUUGAAAUGCAUCUCACCACUAACUCACACCAAUGACCAUAAACAGUAUAUGUCCUCAAUAUAUCAA
This is a long non-coding RNA of Cyprinus carpio (common carp), 580 nucleotides long. NCBI's taxonomy places the organism in Eukaryota, Metazoa, Chordata, Actinopteri, Cypriniformes, Cyprinidae. The record is from Ensembl.